Molecule: unclassified non-coding RNA, 271 nt
Filed under: Hevea brasiliensis (rubber tree)
Lineage: Eukaryota; Viridiplantae; Streptophyta; Magnoliopsida; Malpighiales; Euphorbiaceae
Source: RNAcentral
GCCCUUGAACACUCGAAAUUGAUAUAUAAACGAUAAUUCAUAAAAAUAUAUGUAUUAUAAAUUCAAACUACUGGUAAACUAUGCAGUCAUGAGUAAAUGGUACAUAUAAAAGUUAUUUCCUUUUUCCAAAAUUUCUAGUGUGGCCUGCAGCCACGAGAUGCAAUGUCAAUCAACCAAAGAUAUGUAACUUUUCAAAGUAUACGAGUGCAUAUUAUGCACUUAAAAAAGAAAAACAAUUAAGCUUUACAGGUAAAAUAUCAUUUGUAGAGUG